GGUGACGGCACCAGUAAUGGACACGGCACCAAUUAUGGACAUUUUUUUCGUUGAUCGAAUUUAUUAAGCAACUGUCCCGACAUUUUUUAACUGGCAACACUAAAGCAUAACCAAUAGACGUUUGAGCUGUCAUUUUGACACACGUCACCAAAAUCGGCCAUUUUGUUCUUAGAUGGCUGCGAAGUCAAAAUUCGUUACGCGCGGUGGUAAUAAAAAUCCGUUUUUAUUAUUGAAAUCGUUAAGGAGAUGGCACCGAAGAAAAAUUAUACCCCCGAACAAAUGGGGAGAGCAUUGGAUGCUGUAAGGAUGGGAGAAACUAUAAGCAUAGCUGCCCUCCGGUUUGGGGUUCCUCGAAUAACCUUGCACAACAAGGUGACAGGCAAAAGUCCUGCAGUUUGUGCUAUGGGGCCUCAAACUAUCCUUACGGCAGAAGAAGAGGACAUUCUGGUAAAAUGGUUGGUCGCAAUGAGUGAAAAGCACUUUCCCAUAAAUAGACAAUUAUUAACAGAGAGCGUGCAAAAAAUUAUAUUAGAUCAAGGGAAGGCCAAUCCUUUUACAAAUAACAAACCUGGAAAAAAGUGGUUUUCCUCAUUUUUAAAACGUCAUCCAGAUAUAACAGAAAAAACAGCACAAAAUCUUUCGAAGUCGAGGGAUGACGUUACCGAAGAAGGCAUACGCAAAUGGUUUAAUGAAAUAACGACAUACAUAGAAGGUGUAGGUUUAAAAGAUGUUUUAGAUGACCCUAGCCGGAUAUUUAAUACCGACGAAAGCGCAUUUUUUUUGUCACCAAAAGCAGGCCGAGUUCUGCUGAAAUGUGAUACUUCUUUUGAUUAUAUUGUCAAACGUCCGUAGGUACAAUAGCAUGCCUAACAAGAUAUUAAGCUUUUUUGAUAGUUUUUUUAAUAUUUUAUAUUGUGCUUUAUGAUUAUUAUAUUGCUAAGAUUCUAAUUUCUUGCCUGAUAGAUCUCAGUUGAUUAGUGUGUUACCAAUUCUAAGCUGCAGCUGCUGGCAAAGAGGCAAAGCCUCAAUAAAUGUUUAAAAAUUACUGAAAACCAGAUGGUUGAUUGAAAGUCUGAUAGUAUAACUUGGAAAUCUAAGACUGAUCAUGUUGAAAGUUCAAAUAGCGUUACCUAAUAAUAAAAGUUGAUUUGUGA
This is a long non-coding RNA of Cydia pomonella (codling moth), 1154 nucleotides long. RefSeq lists it as uncharacterized. Lineage: Eukaryota; Metazoa; Arthropoda; Insecta; Lepidoptera; Tortricidae. The record is from RefSeq and is a predicted model, not a curated record. The transcript is spliced from 2 exons.